CGCGAUUCACGACAUGUUUAUAUUAUUAAUGUUCGAAGUUAUGGUCGGGUCACAUGAAAUGCAAACCCAAAUGAGAUUUACGUAUCGUGACCAUGCCACGGGAACCGUACCCAUAGCCACGAUGAUUUAUUAAUUGCGCCUAAAGUAUUUCUACGCAUAUUCAUACAUCGGCAACUUCAUUUGGAUUACUAUGUAAUAUAUGGUAGGAGUAUUUGUUGGUGGAACGGUUUGAUUAAUGACUGAAGUUAUAUAUACGCCCAUGUGAAUCAACAGGACUUUUCCUUAGCCUUAUUCUUAAAUUAAAAGUUGAAAGGAAGAAUCAGAAAUAUAGAGGGAUUUCAAUUUACAUCAAAAGCACAAGUAUAAUGAAUAUAGAAUCCUCCAGCAAAGCAAUAUGGGAAUGUAUUACUUUGCUAACUAUAUCUACUGUAUAGUGCUUGCCUGCGGACAAAAGGCAGAAAUUAGGGCAAUAAAUGGUUCAAUAUCAAAGACAGCCAACACUACUUGUGUAUGUAUACGGGGUUAUUUAACAGUUUUCAUGAAGCCAUGUCCAAGAAUCUCCUACUUCUUCUUCUGCCAUGAAAGCACUCAAGAAGAAAUAGAAAAAAUAAAAAAUAAAAGAAAUUUUCGGGAAAAAAAGAAAACAAAAGAAAUGGCGUAUACACCUUUCUUGUUGGCCUGUCUUUUUCCAAAUAUGAGCACUUUCCAUUAAUACCAGAAAACUUUUGUAAAGUACAACAAAAAAAAAACAAGAUAAAGACUUUGAUAAGGAAUAACCAAUAAAGUAAACAAAUAUGCUUGCUAGUACUAAAUGAAAAGGUGAAGCAUGAUUAGCAUUAAAGAGAAGAUAAUGAACCAUCCAUCUUAAUACAAAAUGACAAACAGACCUAAAGAACAAUAUUGGGUGGUUAAUUAACACCUUUAAUGGGAAUAUAUCAUUUCCCACUCGAAGUGCCACAUACCUAAUAUUCGUUGGCCUUUAAUUAAAUAGACUGAUAAAAUUUGGUAAGGCACGUAACUUGGGCUUUAUCGAGCUUUUAACAACAUUGCUGCUUGUAAUAAUAGCCAAUUUCAUGUCUUUUUGUGCUCCUUUUUAGUUUAGGACAAAAUGUUAAUACAACACAUCAAAGAGAAGAAGAAAGAAUCCAUGUCAAUUUCAUUUUAGUUCCCAGAUACAUAAAAUUUUCCCACCAAUAAACUACGCCAAAUCAUUCAAUAAGCAAACAAACAUAUAAUCAACAUUUAGACAGAUCUCGAGCAAGAAAGAGGAGUCCAAUCAUCAAUAAAUAUACCAAAAUACAACAGAGUUUUCUGAGUUUACCUCUUAACUAAAAAAUGCUACAUGAACAAAUUCCGGUACGGGACAACAGCGAAUCAGAACUCAGCUAUAGCAAUCGAGCAAAUCAAGCAGUCAGAGAGUAUUUCACAGCUCGAUAAGUCUUUGAAUUUCCAAAAAAAAAUCAACAUGGAUGAAUGGAAACUGAAAUAUCUUGGAAUCUCUAGAAAUAGGUUGGAAAUGAUGGAGGGGUGGCCGGCUAGGUCUUUUGAGUGUAGGAGAAGGAGGGGUCUGCUUUUCGUUGAAGAAAAGAGAGCUCUGGAGUGCUGUUUUUGCUCUCUUCUUCAAGGGGGAUGUCCCGUUAUUUUUUUUCUAGCUCUUCUGAUGUUAGGUUUUAGGGAUUUUAGGGAAAAUGGGAAAAGGGAAGAUUGAGUUGGGGUUUAAAAGUUAUUUUAGGCCAUUUUAGGAAUUGGCCCAAUUUUAAAAGAAACAAGACCAAAAAUAU
Molecule: long non-coding RNA, 1781 nt
Filed under: Nicotiana tabacum (common tobacco)
Lineage: Eukaryota; Viridiplantae; Streptophyta; Magnoliopsida; Solanales; Solanaceae
Description: long non-coding RNA (NTAB_LNC013499)
Source: RNAcentral